CGUCCGGGUUAGAGGCCGGAUGCAGAAAGGCCGAGGCGCUGAGGGAGGGGGCUGUGGACCAUCAGCUAGUUGGUAGGGUAACGGCCUACCAAGGCGAGGACGGAUAGGGGGCCUGAGAGGGUGACCCCCCACACGGGCACUGAGACACGGGCCCGACUCCUACGGGAGGCAGCAGUAAGGGAUAUUGCGACAAUGGGCGAAAGCCUGACGCAGCAACGCCGCGUGGAGGAUGAAGGCCUUCGGGUUGUAAACUCCUUUUCUGUGGGAAGAGGAAGGACGGUACCACAGGAAGAAGUCUCGGCUAACUACGUGCCAGCAGCCGCGGUAAAACGUAGGAGGCGAGCGUUAUCCGGAUUUACUGGGUGUAAAGCGCGUGCAGGCGGCUUGGUAAGUCGAGCGUGAAAGCUCCCGGCUCAACCGGGAGAGGACGUGCGAAACUGCGAGGCUAGAGACAGGUAGAGGCGUACGGAAUUCCGGGUGUAGUGGUGAAAUGCGUAGAUAUCCGGAGGAACACCAGUGGCGAAGGCGGUACGCUGGGCCUGGUCUGACGCUAAGACGCGAAAGCAUGGGGAGCGAACGGGAUUAGAAACCCCGGUAGUCCAUGCCGUAAACGAUGCUAACUAGGUGUUGCGGGUAAAAGACCGGCAGUGCCGGAGUUAACGCGAUAAGUUAGCCACCUGGGGACUACGGUCGCAAGGCUAAAACUCAAAGGAAUUGACGGGGGCCCGCACAAGCAGCGGAGCGUGUGGUUUAAUUCGAGGCUACACGAAGAACCUUACCUGGGCUUGACAUGACGGUGGUAGGGAACCGAAAGGGGACCGACCUUCGGGAGCCGUCACAGGUGCUGCAUGGCUGUCGUCAGCUCGUGUCGUGAGAUGUUCGGUUAAGUCCGGUAACGAGCGCAACCCUCAUCGCUAGUUACAAGUGUCUAGCGAGACUGCCCGUUCAACGCGGGAGCGCAGGCGGGGAUGACGUCAAGUCAGCAUGGCCUUUAUGUCCAGGGCUACACACACGCUACAAUGGCCGGUACAAUGGGUCGCCAACCCGCGAGGGGGAGCCAAUCCACCAAAGCCGGUCACAGUUCGAAUUGCAGGCUGCAACCCGCCUGCAUGAAGUCGGAGUUGCUAGUAACCGCAGGUCAGCUAUCCUGCGGUGAAUACGUUCCCGGGCCUUGUACACACCGCCCGUCACGUCAUGGGAGCUGGUCAUGCCUGAAGUCGGUGAGCCAACCGC
Molecule: ribosomal RNA, 1233 nt
Filed under: uncultured organism
Description: bacterial SSU rRNA
Rfam family: Bacterial small subunit ribosomal RNA
Source: RNAcentral